GACGAACGCUGGCGGUGUGCUUAACACAUGCAAGUCGAACGGUAAGGCCCUUUCGGGGGUACACGAGUGGCGAACGGGUGAGUAACACGUGAGUAACCUGCCCUCAUCUCUGGGAUAACAGUCGGAAACGGUUGCUAAUACUGGAUAUGAGCUUGCAAGGCAUCUUGUGGGUUGGAAAGAUUUUUUUUGGUUGGGGAUGGACCCGCGGCCUAUCAGCUUGUUGGUGAGGUAGUGGCUCACCAAGGCUUCGACGGGUAGCCGGCCUGAGAGGGCGACCGGCCACAUUGGGACUGAGAUACGGCCCAAACUCCUACGGGAGGCAGCAGUGGGGAAUAUUGCACAAUGGACGGAAGUCUGGUGCAGCAACGCCGCGUGCGGGAUGACGGCCUUCGGGUUGUAAACCGCUUUCAAUUGUGACGAAGCUUUUUUGUGACGGUAGCAGUAGAAGAAGCACCGGCUAACUACGUG
RNAcentral lists this ribosomal RNA (468 nucleotides) under uncultured bacterium. RNAcentral's name for it is "partial 16S ribosomal RNA". It matches the Rfam family "Bacterial small subunit ribosomal RNA", at positions 28 to 507 of the family's 1533-position model. The record is from RNAcentral.